This 681-nucleotide long non-coding RNA is filed under the name Lathyrus oleraceus (garden pea). RNAcentral describes it as "Pisum sativum (pea) long non-coding RNA (PSAT_LNC023434)". The record is from RNAcentral. Lineage: Eukaryota; Viridiplantae; Streptophyta; Magnoliopsida; Fabales; Fabaceae.
AAAGAAAGUUGGGCCUAUUUAGUAAAGGAUAGAGUUUUUAUAAAUGAUAUACCCAUUAAGAAUCAUACUUUUUCUUCCAUUUUGAGUUCUUCUAAAAGCUCCCAUCAAAUAGUUAUUGAAAACUCAACCUGGAUUCUUGGUGAUGGAAAAGAAAUUAAUUUUUGACUUGAUUCUUGGGGUGGGUCUCCUCUAGCACAAACUCUUAAUAUCAAGAUUUUAGACCAGGCUUUUCUGACAAAAAAGGUGAGUGACUUCCUUCUUAGUAGAACUUGGAAUAUUCCUCCUAAUGUUGGCCUUUCCCAACUAAUACAAUAUCAUUAAUACAUGUCACAUUCUUACUAAGUACUCAGAGGAGUCAAUAUGUUGGAGACAUGUUGAUAUUGGUUACUUGACCCUAAAGGAAGCUUACGAAUUCCUUGCUAAACCUAGUUAACCCAUUCCUUGGCACAAACAUGUUUGGGAUCCUAGUGUCCCUCACUCUAAGUCUUUGCUCUCAUGAAGGUUCCUUCAAAAUAAGCUCCCAUCUAAUGAAAACCUAGUUGUUAAAGUUUGUCAUCUUCCAUCCAUUUAUAACCUUUAGCAUAAACAUAAUGAAACAACUCAUCAUAUCUUGUUUGAUUGUAGCUUUACUUCCCAUAUGUGGUCCUAGUUUUCUUAUAUUAUAUCUUUCUUGGAAAAUCG